This 469-nucleotide ribosomal RNA is filed under the name uncultured bacterium. RNAcentral's name for it is "bacterial SSU rRNA". It matches the Rfam family "Bacterial small subunit ribosomal RNA", at positions 28 to 501 of the family's 1533-position model. The record is from RNAcentral.
GACGAACGCUGGCGGCGUGCUUAACACAUGCAAGUCGAACGAGAAUCUGUGGAUCGAGGAUUCGUCCAAGUGAAGCAGAGGACAGUGGCGGACGGGUGAGUAACGCGUGAGGAACCUGCCUUUCAGAGGGGGGACAACAGUUGGAAACGACUGCUAAUACCGCAUGAUACAUUUGGGUGGCAUCAUCUGAAUGUCAAAGAUUUAUCGCUGAAAGAUGGCCUCGCGUCUGAUUAGCUGGUUGGUGAGGUAACGGCCCACCAAGGCGACGAUCAGUAGCCGGACUGAGAGGUUGACCGGCCACAUUGGGACUGAGAUACGGCCAGACUCCUACGGGAGGCAGCAGUGGGGAAUAUUGCACAAUGGAGGAAACUCUGAUGCAGCGACGCCGCGUGAGCGAAGAAGUAUUCGGUAUGUAAAGCUCUGUCAGCAGGGAAGAUAAUGACGGUACUGACCAAGAAGCCCGGCUAAC